This 74-nucleotide transfer RNA is filed under the name Saccharomyces cerevisiae (brewer's yeast). The record is from RNAcentral. Lineage: Eukaryota; Fungi; Ascomycota; Saccharomycetes; Saccharomycetales; Saccharomycetaceae.
CACUUCGUAGCCAAGUUGGUUUAAGCACAUUACCACUAAUCUUGAGAUCGGGCGUUCGACUCGCCCCCGGGAGA